Long non-coding RNA from Cercocebus atys (sooty mangabey), 472 nucleotides. RefSeq lists it as uncharacterized. The record is from RefSeq and is a predicted model, not a curated record. The transcript is spliced from 3 exons. NCBI's taxonomy places the organism in Eukaryota, Metazoa, Chordata, Mammalia, Primates, Cercopithecidae.
CUCUUUAUCCCAGACUCCUCCCCUGCAAUCUCCCUCUUAGAGACCGCGUCUCUGCCCUCUCAACCCAGAGGUAGACUAAAGCUUGGCUAAUCAAAGCAUCCAGUGCCUUUGACCACAGUAAGAGCUGGAAGACUGGGCACAUGGCCUCUUCAGAGCCGCUGAGAUGGAAGAGAAUCUUUGCUGAAACUUCUGGGAAAGAAAUGAACUUUCCUGCUGGACUUUAUUCAUGAGAAGAUACACUGUGGAUUGUGACCUGUUGGUGGGCCAUGAAAUCAGUUUGGAGGUUUGAGAGCACCAUUCUUUUAAUAAAACAGAAGAGAAUCAUCUGCAAUAAGGAACCCAUGGAUGAAUACCAUCUGGUCCUGAUGAUUUACUGCACAGAGUCCCUCAAGUUGCUCCAUACCUUUCUCCUCAGAGACUGAAGAAUCUCUGUCAAGGCCGUUCUCUGCUUUGCCAUAAAAUGUGUCCUUGG